RNAcentral lists this ribosomal RNA (253 nucleotides) under uncultured bacterium. RNAcentral's name for it is "partial 16S ribosomal RNA". It matches the Rfam family "Bacterial small subunit ribosomal RNA", at positions 524 to 776 of the family's 1533-position model. The record is from RNAcentral.
UACGUAGGGGGCUAGCGUUGUCCGGAUUUAUUGGGCGUAAAGAGCGUGUAGGCGGCCAUGUAGGUCCGGUGUGAAAACUCGAGGCUUAACCUCGAGAUGUCAUCGGAAACCAUUUGGCUAGAGUCCGGAAGAGGAGACUAGAAUUCCUGGUGUAGCAGUGAAAUGCGUAGAUAUCAAGAGGAACACCUGCGGCGAAGGCGGGUUGCUGGGCCGACACUGACGCUGAGGCGCGAAAGCUAGGGGAGCGAACGGG